UGACAAUAUGAUGUUAUAUAAGUUUUGUUCAUUGAAACAAAAAACGAAAAGAUGUUGAACAAAUCAAUUGGAUACAUUUCACAAUGCGCUAUCGCUCUUCUUAUGUUAAGUUGCGUAGCCACAGAUGUCUGUACAGUUACAAAAGCAUACGCAUGUCAAAGAAGCACUACAACUUACACAAGCUGUGGGUUUCUUUGGUGGCGGAGAUGCACCCGCUACUAAUCAGUUUGGGACACUUGUUAUCAGCUGAUCAAACAGUGUUGUCCGAACUACGAAGGAUCCAGCUGUGAUACUCCUCUUUGCAGCGGUGAGAAUAGCUGUCAGAAUGGCGGAACUUGCAUAUCUGCAAACAACUGUACGUGCCUUGAAGGGUUCGAACCCCCAAUAUGUGAAGACAAAAACGAAUGUAACACUGAAAAUGGCGGCUGUUCGCACAAUUGUACAAACAGGCAUGGGGCGUUUGAAUGCAGCUGUAAUGAUGGCUACGUGAUAAAUAAUGACAACAAAACAUGCUCAUCACCUAAAGACAAUUCGAAGAAGUACAGUAUGGCGACUAAUGUGGGUGGCUUGGUUGGUAUUAGUAUCGGUGUACUUAUUAUAAUUGCUUCCAUCAUACUACUGGCAGUAAGGUAAAUGAUUUUUAAUAAUAGUUUAAGUUUGAAAGUUCGUUCAGAAAUACAUCAUAGUCAUAAUGUCCAUGAUUAUACAUUGGUGAAAAGAAAUAUAUUUAUAUAUAUCAGCAGUCAAUAGAUCAAUUAAAUAUAAUUAAUAUACAUAUAAAGAUAAUAUAACUUUGCAUAAAUCACACAAUUAAUUUAGUUUUAUAAAUAGAGAUUAAUAUAAUACAAAACAUGUCGAUAUAUCAAGUAUGUGAUAGUGAAAGAUCAGUGUGUAUGAACGUUUUAUAUACUUUAGUCAUAAAAGCAAUGAAACGUAUUUCUUAAACUAAACGAAUAAUUAACAUACAAGGUAAAUGUUUCUACUCACUUUAACAUUUGCGGAUUGUAUUAAUUCAGCACUUUGGUAUAUUUGGUCUUUUGCAGUAAUAUUUAUCUAUAUAUGUGUUUCUUAUGUCACUUUAUAAAGGGCUUUUAAGAACAAAAUGAAAUCCAUCUCCUAAUACAUAGCACAUGAUACAUGUUCUUUAUGGUUAGUUAAAAGUUCAGGUCUAUGCAAUUUUCCUGCUUCAAUUUCUAAUAUAUGAGAUGAUACUCUUACACAUAAGUCUUUUCUUAAUUUAACUAUCUUAACAUUUGUCAAGUACGGUUGUAACAUAACAUUGCGGUUUAUUGUGAAAGUUCCUGCUCGCGAUGAAUUGUUUAGCUCUAUCAUCCAGUAUUAGAUAAAUGGAUCAUUUGUUCGUGUCUUUCAUAAAUAUAUAAUUAUGAUUUCAUCACUGAAACCUUGAUUUAACCGAGCAUAAUAGAAGCCAAGAUAUUGUAGCUAGGAACACACAGAUUUCGUCUAUGACUUACAAUUUAGUAUUGCUUCUAAGUCUACUUAACAAAGAGGUUCUUCCAAGUUCUCCAUAGAUGAAAUAAAUUUCACUUUGAAUUCUAACUCCUAAGAAUUAAACAAAAUUAAAAUAGAUGCACUCUCUAAAACAAGGAAUUAUUAAGCCCCAAAUUUCUGAUCCAUUGUUUAAGAUUGGGAGAAUAAAUUUAUCAAACAUUUGAAUUAUAUUUUAUGGACAAUGAGGGAAAUUUAACUAAACGUGAUUUUAAUGUAAUGUAGCCUUUGAUGUUUGUCCUGCUAGUGUAUCAACAGUUGUUGCAAAAGGGCCACUAGUUGUAAAAACAAUACCUAUGUAUGUAAAUUUUCGAUCUAUUUCUAAACAGUCUCUCUUACAUAAGAAAUUAAUAUUGUUCCUUAAACGUCCACCUUGUUUAGAAAUCAUUACUGUUGUCUUCGUAGAGUUUGCACCUAAUUUCCUUUAUAUUCUAUUACAAUACUCCUUUAGUAACUCUUAACUUUUCUAAUCUCUUUUUUCAGAUUCAGCCAUGAUUACUAUAUCAUCAGUAUAUAACAACAGAAACAGUUAAAACAUACCCAUAUAUAUACUAUUGGAACCAUACAGCAUUUAAUUUUCUUCUAUAUCAUUAAAAUACAAAGAAAAAACCGGAGAUAAAUUCCUCGCACCUAAGCAGCGUGUAAAAUAUUAAUGUAUGAUUGUAAUCUUAAUUUUUAUUCUUGAUUUAAAGGGACUGAACACCAGAUAAUACAUUUGCAAGAAAAAAGAAUAUAGUCAAAAACUAAUAUAAAAUGUACAUUCAAUCAUACUGAUGUAUUACAUCGCAAACGACACACGUAUAUUUCGCAGUUUUUGCAUAUUUUUACGAAUCGAAAUUUACUGGGUUUGUAAAUACCAGUACAAUUCGAUUUUUAUCCGUAUAUGUAUCAGUAUCAAUCACCUGUUUUUCACAUGCUAAAUGUACACACUAUAAACUUGGAAACCGUUAUACACGAUUUUUAAACGGGUAUACUCAGCUGAGACAGCGACAACAUAUUCUGUUAAUUAUCUAAAGUGAUGUAACAUCGGCCUGAUACUAGCUCGUAUCGACGAUAUUUAUGUGAAAAACUACAGAAACAAGCUCAGUAGCCAACAUUUUAAACAUUAACCCCGUUCAAUGGCACAGGGUAAACGCCAAAUACAUAUACCACAAAAACAAAAUAUCACAGACACGAAACAUGGAACAACGGCUUAGAAUUCCACAUACAAAACAGUGCAUAUAUACUAUAUAAACAAUAGGUAUGUUUAUCAAGGAUUGUUAAUUACCGCCUUGGAAUGGCCAGUAAAAUGUAAAUUUACUGGGGGUUUAAACCAGUUUACGUGCACAAACCUCUCUCUUAUCCCAACAAUCCUAAAUAAAGUAAAAACGUAUAAGGUAUCUUAUCAAAGUAUGCAUUAACUUGAGGAAACUUAAUAAUAAAACAAAUAAUAAUAAACUAAACCCCAAGUACUUCAAUGAUUAGGAAUCCCAAAUCUAUCCGUAGACGGAGGAAUACAACUCAGAGUACCUUAUGCAAAAAACUUUUCAAAGAUACGAUGCAGUUAUUGUUUGAAACUAUGAGCAUCACACACAGUCUGCCUUAGAAAAAAAGGUUUAAGAGUGUGUGAUCAAAGAGUUUCAAAAUAAAAAGCAUUAGUAAAUGCAACCCCUUCUCUUUUACAGCAGCUUUUACAAUAUUAGGAUUCAGUCUCUGUCAAUUCUAAUUUACAUGUAUGGAAACAAAUUUCAGAUGUUAUCCGGUAUUUAGCACCUUUAUUUAGCAGUUUUCUAAGGAGAUUGUUUUUAAUAAAAUUAAAAUCUCCUGUAACAAUAUGUCCAACAGGAACGUAGCGAUACAUUGAGUCAAUACAAUCUCAAGAAGAAGGUGUAUUUGCAGAAAUGUACUCUUCUGCUACUACUUUUUUAUAGUUAAAUAUGAAAUUUCGAAUAGGUUUUUUAUAUUUAUAACAUAUUAUUGGCACUUCUUUGUUCUUAAAGUAUUGUGGAAUACAAUUUUCUACAUUUUCAUUCUUGAAUAAACCAUUUAAAUUGAGAAGAUCUAUACCCUUUUUACUAAAAGACAGUUUGCUACGACACUCUAGGCUUGUUACUGUAUUUGACAAUUUUUGGACCAUCUGGUGUCAAGUCCCUUUAACAUUUUCGUACAUGAAGUUUAUAACCUAAAAUAAAUUAACCAUAUGAUAUCUCUUACUAAAAAAUCGAAUGCCUUUGUAAACUCCACAACAAACUGCAUCUCUUAUUAUUCUCCAAUUAAUAAUUUAUAAUGUCAUGAAGUACAAACAUAUUGUCAACAUUAUCCCAUAUUCUUCCUAAAACCUGCCUGAGCCUAUAUAUACACAGGCUACUUUUCAACCAAACCAUUUAAUCUAUUAUUUAUCACUUUAGUAACUGUUUUAUCAAAAGUGCUAAAUAAUGUAAUUUCCCUAUAAUUAUUAGAAUUAUCUUUAUAUAGCCUUUUGACUAUGCCUCUGGAAAUUACCACUAUGGAAAAGAUAAUUAAACAAAAUGAAUAAAAACAUUCAAAAAGCUAUCACUUUUUAUACCAUACUUAAAUUAAUCAUUUAACAGAUAUUCAGGCCCGUAAUUUAAUUGCUUACAUGCUUCUACAACUUCAUCAUUAGUAAAUGAUUCAUUCUAUUUUUAAACAUAAUAUCCAAUUCUCCAAGUACAUAUAUAUCAUGUAAAUAUAUAAUAUCUUCAUCAGGUUGUGAGGCUUGGUCGUUAAUAACCCUAAAAUAUUUAUAAGAAAAUCUUUAUUUGUCAAAUUUAGUUUUCACAUUUGACAACAGAACCUUUUAACUAUUUGCAACACAUUCUGGCAUUAGAUAAUCUAGCAUUUCCUGGCGUUUGUAUUUGCUGUCUAUUACACAUAUAUAUCUUGUUAUCUAACAGUAUUCUUUUAUACAAACUUCUAGAUUGCUUUACAGAUUUAAAUAUUAUUAGUUCCCAGUAAAAAUAGUGGUACAUCCUUUGUACAUUAAGGUGCUAUUCCAAGUAUAAGAGUAAUGGAAAGCCAACUGCAAAGGUAUGAUAUUAACUUGAUAUGUAAUAUGAGAUGAAAGUAUAUCCGUUUCGCAUGAUAUAUUGACAUCAUUAAAUACACGAUGAAGAAUCGAGCCGUAGAAUUCAGAAUUAUAAUUGAGCAGGUGCGUCCAAAUUCGAGAAGGUAAAUGGUGUUACAUGUGUAUUUAAAAAAUAUUAUUGAGUUAUCUUAAAAAAAUAUUCUGUGAAUCGGUAUUUUUAUUGUUGUUUGGGAGUGUGUCAGUCGAAAACGUUCUCUGUCUGUCGCUCUUGAGAACUAGCGUACAGAAAAAGGGGAAAAGUGUACAGUGUGAGUCUCUCGUUCAGUGUGUGUCCCUCAUGCAGUAUCUAUACUGUGUGUACGUACAGUGUUUGUCCCUCAUGCAAUAUCUUUGCUCUGUGUAUAAUGUGUCUUCAUCGUUCAGCGUCUGUGUUGUUCAUACAAAGUGAAAAACUCGUUAUGUUGUUUGUACAGUGUGUGUCCCGCAUUCAGUGGUUGUGCUGUGUGUUCCGUGUGUGUCCCUCGUAGAGUUUCUGUUUUGAGUGUACAGUGCGUGUGUCCCUCGUUCAGUGUCCGUGUUGUGUGUACAGCGUGUCACUCGUACAGUCUGUGUUCCUCGCACAGUGUUCGUUUUGAGUGUACAAUGAAUAUGUCCCUCUUUCAGUGUAUGUGUUGUGCGUACAGAAUGAGUCAGUCAUUCAAUGUAUGUUUUGAGUGUACAUGGUGUCCCUUGUUUAGUGUCUGUGUUGUGUUUACUAUGUGUGUACCUAGCUCAGUUUAUGUUUUGAGUGAGCAAUUUGUGUCCCUCAUUCAAUGCAUGUAUAGUUUGUGUCCCGCGUUUAGUGUCCAUGUUGUUUGUACAGUUUGUGUCCCUCGUACAGUGUCUGUGUUGUGUAAAAGUGCCUGUGUUGUGUGAACAGUACAGUGUUGGUAGAGUAUGUACAUUGUGUAUCCCUCGUACAGUUUCUUUGCUGUGUGUACAGUGUGUGUCCCUCGUACCGUGUCAGUGUUGAUUGCACAUUAUUUGUGUUGAUUGUACAGUAUUUAUGUUGUGGGUACAGUGUGUGUCCCUCAUAGCAUGCCUAUGCUGUGUGUACAGUGUCUGUACUGUUUGUAAAAAUUUUGUAUGUACACUGUGUGUCCUUUGUUUAUUGACUGUCUUGUGUGUACAGUUUUGUCCCUCGUUCAAUGUCUUGUGUGUGCAUUGUGUGUCCCUCGUUUAGUGUGUGUGCAGCGGGUACAAUUUGUGUUCCUAAUUCAGUGUCUGUUUAUCCUUAGCAUUGCAUUUUUAAACAGGGUUUGUUUUUACAUUCUUGCUACCCAGUACAGGGCUAGCUCAGUAAGUUGCGUUGUAAACGAAUACCUGAAUAGAUACAUUAAAAAGCAUACACUGUUUGUAUAUUUUUGCAUGAUGCAAUUUUACCAUUCCAAGUAUGCUAUAAUGAGUAUGCAUUUUUAUUCUGUUCCAGCCACAGCUUGACACUAAAAAGAGUGAAAAAAUAUAACUGACUGUCAACUGAAACAUCUACCGAUUAUAUGAAAGUGUCCGGAUUAAAUGGUUAUACGUUUGUAUUAUACUUGUUUAUUCUGCGU
Mya arenaria is the source of this 6126-nucleotide long non-coding RNA. RefSeq lists it as uncharacterized. The record is from RefSeq and is a predicted model, not a curated record. The transcript is spliced from 6 exons. Lineage: Eukaryota; Metazoa; Mollusca; Bivalvia; Myida; Myidae.